RNAcentral lists this long non-coding RNA (662 nucleotides) under Physcomitrium patens. Its description in RNAcentral is "long non-coding RNA (PPAT_LNC004416)". The record is from RNAcentral. Lineage: Eukaryota; Viridiplantae; Streptophyta; Bryopsida; Funariales; Funariaceae.
UCACAAAUCACUUCUAAGCAACAUAAGAGGUCUUUUAAGCACCUUAAGCUCUUUUAAGACAUGAAACUAUAAAGUUAGUCGAUCAAGGAUCUUAAUCAAUAAAAAAAAUACAACAUUAGUAUUCUAUACCAUCAACAUGAGGUGCAAAUCAAACCUUGAAUCUAAGAUGCACUAAAAAAUAAGUAAGAGCAAACAAAGAUCUAGAUCUAGAUCUAAAUCUAAGAGUUAGAAUAUCAAAAUCCUAACAUCAGCAACAACAAUAUGAUCUAUUCUAUAUAAUAAUAAAGAUUUCAUAAAACUUUAAAGAAAUUCAUAAUGGAAUAUCAGUGGGUACAUAAUCUAUUGAAAAAAGAGAAGUUAGAAGCCAUAAUACUUAGCAUUAGCAAGAUUGCAUACAAAGUGAAGUGGAGUAAGAUGACUCUUACUUCCAACAUUCUUUACCUAUAGCCAAAGUUUACAUCAAUUGUUCAUUUUCAUCCUUCUUUCUUUCAUCCAUCUAAAUCCUAGAUUCUUCUUAACCUAACUGCCAUCUAAAACUUCUUGCCACCACUUUAAUAACAUCUUUUAAUCCUUAGUUCUCUUUUUAUUAUUAGCAACUUACUAUGGUUUAUUACAAUGUGGUGGCAACUAUGCAAAAUCUUGCUGAUCUUCAACAUGUUUCA